Phoenix dactylifera (date palm) is the source of this 417-nucleotide non-coding RNA. The record is from RefSeq and is a predicted model, not a curated record. Lineage: Eukaryota; Viridiplantae; Streptophyta; Magnoliopsida; Arecales; Arecaceae.
CAUCACCAAAGCGGAGAUAAGCUUGAACAACAUAGCAUUUCUAUCUGUCAUAGAAGAAGAUGGCCAGGCUAUCCUAUGUUCUUCUAGUCCUCCUUGUCUUUGUAUCAGCUGAGAUGAUGGUGCCAAAGGUGGAUGCUCAGAAGAAAUGUUUAAUUUUCUUGAUGAGUAACAGAUACGAAUGCCUCAAUGAAUCCUGCCAUUUGGAUUGCGCAAAAUGGUAUAAACAUGGAAUUGGAUAUUGUGUCCCAAAUCCUGAUGUAAAUAACUUUGUUAUGUGUGCAUGCGAUUAUGAUUGUUAAUUGAGCAAAUGUUAUCACUGUUCUGUUGAGAUAUGCAAUCGUGUGCCUUUGAGGAUGUGGACUAAAGAUUGUGCGUUUAUGAAUAAAAUUCAGACUGAACCUUCUUUCAGAGUGCUUA